RNAcentral lists this ribosomal RNA (472 nucleotides) under uncultured bacterium. Its description in RNAcentral is "bacterial SSU rRNA". It matches the Rfam family "Bacterial small subunit ribosomal RNA", at positions 8 to 474 of the family's 1533-position model. The record is from RNAcentral.
AGAGUUUGAUCAUGGCUCAGAUUGAACGCUGGCGGUAUGCUUAACACAUGCAAGUCGAACGGUAACAGGCUAGCUUGCUAGCGCUGACGAGUGGCGGACGGGCGCGUAACGCGUAGGAAUCUGCCUAUUAGUGGGGGACAACAUGGUGAAAACCAUGCUAAUACCGCAUACGCCCUACGGGGGAAAGCAGGGGAUCUUCGGACCUUGCGCUAAUAGAUGAGCCUGCGUUAGAUUAGCUUGUUGGUGAGGUAAUGGCUCACCAAGGCGACGAUCUAUAGCUGGUCUGAGAGGACGAUCAGCCACACUGGGACUGAGACACGGCCCAGACUCCUACGGGAGGCAGCAGUGGGGAAUAUUGGACAAUGGACGAAAGUCUGAUCCAGCAAUACCGCGUGUGUGAAGAAGGCCUGAGGGUUGUAAAGCACUUUCAAUUGGGAGGAAAACAGGCAGGUUAAUAUCCUGUCUCUUGACA